GGAUGAACGCUGGCGGCGUGCCUAACACAUGCAAGUCGAGCGGAGAAUUGUUGCUUGCACCCAUUCUUAGCGGCGGACGGGUGAGUAACACGUGGGUAACCUGCCCUAAACAAAGGGAUAACAAUGAGAAAUCAUUGCUAAUACCGUAUAAGCUUACACUAUCGCAUGAUAGAGUAAGAAAAGAUUUAUCGGUUUAGGAGGGGCCCGCGUCUGAUUAGCUAGGUGGAGAGGUAACGGCUCACCAAGGCGACGAUCAGUAGCCGACCUGAGAGGGUGAUCGGCCACAUUGGGACUGAGACACGGCCAAAACUCCUACGGGAGGCAGCAGUGGGGAAUAUUGCACAAUGGAGGAAACUCUGAUGCAGCAACGCCGCGUGAAGGAAGAAGGUUUUCGGAUCGUAAACUUCUAUCUACAGGGAAGAAAAAAAUGACGGUACCUGAGUAAGAAGCCCCGGCUAACUACGUG
RNAcentral lists this ribosomal RNA (466 nucleotides) under uncultured bacterium. RNAcentral describes it as "partial 16S ribosomal RNA". It matches the Rfam family "Bacterial small subunit ribosomal RNA", at positions 27 to 507 of the family's 1533-position model. The record is from RNAcentral.